GACGAACGCUGGCGGCGUGCCUAAUACAUGCAAGUAGAACGCUGAAGGAGGAGCUUGCUUCUCUGGAUGAGUUGCGAACGGGUGAGUAACGCGUAGGUAACCUGCCUGGUAGCGGGGGAUAACUAUUGGAAACGAUAGCUAAUACCGCAUAAGAGUAGAUGUUGCAUGACAUUUGCUUAAAAGGUGCAAUUGCAUCACUACCAGAUGGACCUGCGUUGUAUUAGCUAGUUGGUGAGGUAACGGCUCACCAAGGCGACGAUACAUAGCCGACCGGAGAGGGUGAUCGGCCACACUGGGACUGAGACACGGCCCAGACUCCUACGGGAGGCAGCAGUAGGGAAUCUUCGGCAAUGGACGGAAGUCUGACCGAGCAACGCCGCGGGAGUGUAGAAGGUUGUCGGAUCGUAAAGCUCUGUUGUAAGAGAAGAACGAGUGUGAGAGUGGAAAGUUCACACUGUGACGGUAGCUGACCAGAAAGGGACGGCUAACUACGUG
RNAcentral lists this ribosomal RNA (495 nucleotides) under uncultured bacterium. RNAcentral's name for it is "partial 16S ribosomal RNA". It matches the Rfam family "Bacterial small subunit ribosomal RNA", at positions 28 to 507 of the family's 1533-position model. The record is from RNAcentral.